ACUCCUACGGGAGGCAGCAGUGAGGAAUAUUGGUCAAUGGGCGCAAGCCUGAACCAGCCAUGCCGCGUGCAGGAUGACGGUCCUAUGGAUUGUAAACUGCUUUUGUACAGGAAGAAACACUCCCUCGUGAGGAGCUUGGACUGGUACUGUAAGAAUAAGGAUCGGCUAACUCCGUGCCAGCAGCCGCGGUAAUACGGAGGAUCCAAGCGUUAUCCGGAAUCAUU
Molecule: ribosomal RNA, 224 nt
Filed under: uncultured bacterium
Lineage: Bacteria
Description: partial 16S ribosomal RNA
Rfam family: Bacterial small subunit ribosomal RNA
Source: RNAcentral